Molecule: ribosomal RNA, 507 nt
Filed under: Rhodotorula mucilaginosa
Lineage: Eukaryota; Fungi; Basidiomycota; Microbotryomycetes; Sporidiobolales; Sporidiobolaceae
Description: eukaryotic LSU rRNA
Rfam family: Eukaryotic large subunit ribosomal RNA
Source: RNAcentral
GCACCUUCGGUGUCCGAGUUGUAAUCUCUAGAAAUGUUUUCCGCGUUGGACCGCACACAAGUCUGUUGGAAUACAGCGGCAUAGUGGUGAGACCCCCGUAUAUGGUGCGGACGCCCAGCUCUUUGUGAUACAUUUUCAAAGAGUCGAGUUGUUUGGGAAUGCAGCUCAAAUUGAGUGGAAAAUUCCAUCUAAAGCUAAAUAUUGGCGAGAGACCGAUAGCGAACAAGUACCGUGAGGGAAAGAUGAAAAGCACUUUGGAAAGAGAGUUAACAGUACGUGAAAUUGUUGGAAGGGAAACGCUUGAAGUCAGACUUGCUUGCCGAGCAAUCGGUUUGCAGGCCAGCAUCAGUUUUCCGGGAUGGAUAAUGGUAGAGAGAAGGUAGCAGUUUCGGCUGUGUUAUAGCUCUCUGCUGGAUACAUCUUGGGGGACUGAGGAACGCAGUGUGCCUUUGGCGGGGGUUUCGACCUCUUCACACUUAGGAUGCUGGUGGAAUGGCUUUAAACGAC